Molecule: long non-coding RNA, 283 nt
Organism: Electrophorus electricus (electric eel)
Lineage: Eukaryota; Metazoa; Chordata; Actinopteri; Gymnotiformes; Gymnotidae
Source: RefSeq, a predicted model, not a curated record
UUAACCCUCAACUGCUCAAGUUGUACUCACUCAUAAUUCAACUUCACAGGAACCUGGUCUAGUCCUUCAUAAUCAAGUGGCAGUGACAAGGAAAAACUCCCAUAUGGGAGAAACCUUGGGAGGUCCAGACUCCUGCGGGAAACCCGGCCUCCUUUGGGUGAUACUGAAUAGCAGCACUACAAUGAAUAGGAAAAAAUUAGUGUCUCGGUGCCUUUCUGCAGUUUGUCCUUCUCUGCUGCAAGUUUCGUUCCAUUACCCAGGGCGGGGGACGACGGAAACCUGG